UACGUAGGGUGCAAGCGUUAAUCGGAAUUACUGGGCGUAAAGCGUGCGCAGGCGGUUGUGCAAGACAGAUGUGAAAUCCCCGGGCUUAACCUGGGAACUGCAUUUGUGACUGCACGGCUAGAGUGUGUCAGAGGGGGGUAGAAUUCCGCGUGUAGCAGUGAAAUGCGUAGAUAUGUGGAGGAAUACCGAUGGCGAAGGCAGCCCCCUGGGAUAACACUGACGCUCAUGCACGAAAGCGUGGGGAGCAAACAGG
RNAcentral lists this ribosomal RNA (253 nucleotides) under uncultured bacterium. Its description in RNAcentral is "partial 16S ribosomal RNA". It matches the Rfam family "Bacterial small subunit ribosomal RNA", at positions 524 to 776 of the family's 1533-position model. The record is from RNAcentral.